GGAUGUGAGGGCAAUCUUCACCCCAUUGAUUGCCAGGGUUGAUUCUACUGAUCUGGCUGGCUAGGCUGUUGUCCCCUGCCUCCCUCAUGGCUCCAUAUGAGUCCCUUCCCAAGCUGUGUGCACUUGAAAGACCAGCCUUCCCUAAUAUAGACUAACUGGUCUUGGGUUGAGGGUGUAUGAAUAGUGGCACUCCCCUGCUAGAACCUCCUAACAAGCUCUUGAGUCCUAAGUUCCCAGCUGCAGGGGGAAGAUUCAGGAGCAGUGUGGUCAAGUUUCAGGUGUCUCUGUCACUCUCU
Unclassified non-coding RNA from Erinaceus europaeus (western European hedgehog), 296 nucleotides. Its record names the gene 7SK. It matches the Rfam family "7SK RNA". Rfam says of the family: 7SK was discovered as an abundant small nuclear RNA in the mid-70s but a possible function has only recently been suggested. Two independent studies have found that 7SK RNA binds the CDK9/cyclin T complex (known as elongation factor P-TEFb). The record is from Ensembl. NCBI's taxonomy places the organism in Eukaryota, Metazoa, Chordata, Mammalia, Eulipotyphla, Erinaceidae.